AGUCAUCCAGGUAUAUGAAUUAAUAGUAAUCAAAUUUAUAAUUCUUUAGUUACAAGACAUGCAUUUUUAAUAAUUUUUUUUAUAGUUAUACCAUUUAUAAUUGGAGGAUUUGGUAAUUAUUUAAUCCCAUUAAUAUUAAGUUCACCUGAUACAGCUUUCCCACGCAUAAAUAAUAUUAGAUUUUGACUUUUACCUCCGUCAUUAUUUAUAUUAUUAUUAAGAAAUAUAUUUACACCUAAUGUAGAUAAAGGUGGAUAUACAGUUCAUCCUGUACCUACAUUAGGUGUAAAUAUAUUUCUUAAUAAUAACAUAAAUAAUGAUGGAGGUAAAAGUCAAAAUCUAAUAUUAUUUAUGCGUGGGAAAGCUGUAUCAGGUGAACCUAAUAUUAAUGGGAUUAAAUAAUUACCAAAUCCUCCAAUUAUAAAUGGUAUAACUAUAAAAGAAAUUAUUAAAAAUGCAUGUCUUGUAACUAAAGAAUUAUAAAUUUGAUCA
RNAcentral lists this unclassified non-coding RNA (492 nucleotides) under Bombus terrestris (buff-tailed bumblebee). RNAcentral describes it as "misc RNA ENSBTSG00005027879.1". Lineage: Eukaryota; Metazoa; Arthropoda; Insecta; Hymenoptera; Apidae. The record is from RNAcentral.